AAGCGAAACUAAAAAGAGAGUUG
This 23-nucleotide small nuclear RNA is filed under the name Arabidopsis thaliana (thale cress). RNAcentral describes it as "snRNA_00470". The record is from RNAcentral. Lineage: Eukaryota; Viridiplantae; Streptophyta; Magnoliopsida; Brassicales; Brassicaceae.